CAUGGACAGGAUUGACAGACAGAUUGACAUCUCUUUCUCAAUCCUAUGCGUGGUUGUGCAUGGCUCUUGUUAGUUGGUGGAGCGAUCUGUCUGGUUAAUUCCGAUAAGGAAUGAGACUCUGGCAUGCUAGCUAGUUACAUGAUCCCUGAGCAGUUGGCAUUCUCCAACUUCUUAGAGGGACAAGUGGCAUUCAGUCACCUGAGAUCAAGCAAUAACAGGGCUGUGAUGCCCUUAG
Molecule: non-coding RNA, 235 nt
Filed under: Callithrix jacchus (white-tufted-ear marmoset)
Lineage: Eukaryota; Metazoa; Chordata; Mammalia; Primates; Cebidae
Description: Eukaryotic small subunit ribosomal RNA
Rfam family: Eukaryotic small subunit ribosomal RNA
Source: Rfam by way of RNAcentral